Molecule: transfer RNA, 100 nt
Filed under: Aspergillus calidoustus
Lineage: Eukaryota; Fungi; Ascomycota; Eurotiomycetes; Eurotiales; Aspergillaceae
Rfam family: tRNA
About the family: Transfer RNA (tRNA) molecules are approximately 80 nucleotides in length. Their secondary structure includes four short double-helical elements and three loops (D, anti-codon, and T loops).
Source: Rfam by way of RNAcentral
GGCAGCAUGACCGAGUGGUCUAAGGUGGUAGAUUUGAACCCCCAAAUCGGGAAAAUAUCUACUCCGUUCGCGGGCGUGUGUUCGAACCACACUGCUGUCG